This 403-nucleotide ribosomal RNA is filed under the name uncultured bacterium. RNAcentral describes it as "bacterial SSU rRNA". It matches the Rfam family "Bacterial small subunit ribosomal RNA", at positions 358 to 775 of the family's 1533-position model. The record is from RNAcentral.
GGAAUAUUGGGCAAUGGAGGAAACUCUGACCCAGCAACGCCGCGUGAAUGAUGAAGGUCUUCGGAUUGUAAAGUUCUUUUCUAAGGGAAGAAGAAAGUGACGGUACCUUAGGAAUAAGCCUCGGCUAACUACGUGCCAGCAGCCGCGGUAAUACGUAGGAGGCAAGCGUUAUCCGGAAUGACUGGGCGUAAAGGGUGCGUAGGUGGUUUGACAAGUUGGUAGCGUAACUCCGGGGCUCAACCUCGGCACUACUACCAAAACUGUUGGACUUGAGUGCAGGAGGGGCAAAUGGAAUUCCUAGUGUAGCGGUGGAAUGCGUAGAUAUUAGGAGGAACACCAGUGGCGAAGGCGGCUCUCUGGUCUGUAACUGACGCUGAGGUUCGAAAGCGUGGGUAGCAAACAG